RNAcentral lists this microRNA precursor (81 nucleotides) under Pongo abelii (Sumatran orangutan). RNAcentral's name for it is "miRNA". The record is from RNAcentral. Lineage: Eukaryota; Metazoa; Chordata; Mammalia; Primates; Hominidae.
AAGGAGCACUCACUCCAAUUUCCCUGGACUGGGGCAGGCUGCCACCUCCCGGGGACAGGAGAUUGGGGCAGGAUGUUCCAG